UCUCCGUAGGUGAACCUGCGGAGGGAUCAUUACAGAGUUCAUGCCCUAACGGGUAGAUCUCCCACCCUAUGUUAUCAUCACUUUGUUGCUUUGGCGGGCCGUCAGGCCUCGGCUUGGCUACCGGCUCUCGCUGGUAAGCGCCCGCCAGAGAACCACAAACCCUGAAUAUCAGUGUCGUCUGAGUACUAUAUAAUAGUUAAAACUUUCAACAACGGAUCUCUUGGUUCUG
RNAcentral lists this unclassified non-coding RNA (229 nucleotides) under plant metagenome. Its description in RNAcentral is "partial contains small subunit ribosomal RNA, internal transcribed spacer 1, and 5.8S ribosomal RNA". The record is from RNAcentral.